AGAACUUUCCAGAGAUGGAUUGGUGCCUUCGGGGAACUCUGAGACAGGUGCUGCAUGGCUGUCGUCAGCUCGUGUUGUGAAAUGCUGGGUUAAGUCCCGCAACGAGCGCAACCCUUAUCCUUUGUUGCCAGCGGUUAGGCCGGGAACUCAAAGGAGACUGCCAGUGAUAAACUGGAGGAAGGUGGGGAUGACGUCAAGUCAUCAUGGCCCUUACGAGUAGGGCUACACACGUGCUACAAUGGCGCAUACAAAGAGAAGCGACCUCGCGAGAGCAAGCGGACCUCAUAAAGUGCGUCGUAGUCCGGAUUGGAGUCUGCAACUCGACUCCAUGAAGUCGGAAUCGCUAGUAAUCGUGGAUCAGAAUGCCACGGUGAAUACGUUCCCGGGCCUUGUACACACCGCCCGUCACACCAUGGGAGUGGGUUGCAAAAGAAGUAGGUAGCUUAACCUUCGGGAGGGCGCUUACCACUUUGUGAUUCAUGACUGGGGUGAAGUCGUAACAAGGUAAGCGUAGUGCU
RNAcentral lists this ribosomal RNA (518 nucleotides) under uncultured bacterium. RNAcentral's name for it is "bacterial SSU rRNA". It matches the Rfam family "Bacterial small subunit ribosomal RNA", at positions 992 to 1509 of the family's 1533-position model. The record is from RNAcentral.